UGGGGAAUAUUGGACAAUGGGCGAAAGCCUGAUCCAGCCAUGCCGCGUGUGUGAAGAAGGUCUUCGGAUUGUAAAGCACUUUAAGUUGGGAGGAAGGGCAGUAAGCGAAUACCUUGCUGUUUUGACGUUACCGACAGAAUAAGCACCGGCUAACUCUGUGCCAGCAGCCGCGGUAAUACAGAGGGUGCAAGCGUUAAUCGGAAUUACUGGGCGUAAAGCGCGCGUAGGUGGUUCGUUAAGUUGAAUGUGAAAGCCCCGGGCUCAACCUGGGAACUGCAUCCAAAACUGGCGAGCUAGGGUAGGGCAGAGGGUGGUGGAAUUUCCUGUGUAGCGGUGAAAUGCGUAGAUAUAGGAAGGAACACCAGUGGCGAAGGCGACCACCUGGCCUAACACUGACGCUGGGGUACGAAAGCAUGGGGAGCAAACAGG
This 429-nucleotide ribosomal RNA is filed under the name Pseudomonadota bacterium. Its description in RNAcentral is "Proteobacteria bacterium partial 16S ribosomal RNA". It matches the Rfam family "Bacterial small subunit ribosomal RNA", at positions 355 to 776 of the family's 1533-position model. Lineage: Bacteria; Pseudomonadati; Pseudomonadota. The record is from RNAcentral.